AGAGUUUGAUUAUGGCUCAGGAUGAACGCUGGCGGCGUGCUUAACACAUGCAAGUCGAGCGAAGCACUUUCUCGGAAGUUUUCGGAUGGAAGAGGAUUUGACUGAGCGGCGGACGGGUGAGUAACGCGUGGGGAACCUGCCUCAUACAGGGGAAUAACAGAUGGAAACGUCUGCUAAUGCCGCAUAAGCGCACACUGUGGCAUCACAGAGUGUGAAAAACUCCGGUGGUAUGAGAUGGCCCCGCGUCUGAUUAGGCAGUUGGCGGGGUAACGGCCCACCAAACCGACGAUCAGUAGCCGACCUGAGAGGGUGACCGGCCACAUUGGGACUGAGACACGGCCCAAACUCCUACGGGAGGCAGCAGUGGGGAAUAUUGCACAAUGGGGGAAACCCUGAUGCAGCGACGCCGCGUGGGUGACGAAGUAUUUCGGUAUGUAAAGCCCUAUCAGCAGGGAAGAAGAUGACAGUACCUGACUAAGAAGCCCCGGCUAACUACGUGCCAGCAGCCGCGGUAAUACGUAGGGGGCAAGCGUUAUCCGGAUUUACUGGGUGUAAAGGGAGCGU
RNAcentral lists this ribosomal RNA (564 nucleotides) under uncultured bacterium. Its description in RNAcentral is "bacterial SSU rRNA". It matches the Rfam family "Bacterial small subunit ribosomal RNA", at positions 8 to 572 of the family's 1533-position model. The record is from RNAcentral.